Molecule: long non-coding RNA, 233 nt
Filed under: Lepidothrix coronata (blue-crowned manakin)
Lineage: Eukaryota; Metazoa; Chordata; Aves; Passeriformes; Pipridae
Description: lncRNA (ENSLCOG00000007144.1)
Source: RNAcentral
AGCAGGGCCCUGACAAUGAAAAGGAAAAACAUCCACAACCCCUCCUCCAAAGCUCCUGUAUGAUCAAAAGGGUGUGGAGAAUGCUGAAUGAACUAUUACCAUUACUGCCUUAUGUGCAGAGGAUGCUUCAUGCUGCCAACACAUGUCCUUACCUGGCUGUGCUGGGCAGACCCUGUGAGCAGCACCAGCUCAUAAGUGACCUGGAGCGUGGACUUGGAGUGAGUUUGAUUUGA